Molecule: ribosomal RNA, 435 nt
Filed under: uncultured Terrisporobacter sp.
Lineage: Bacteria; Bacillati; Bacillota; Clostridia; Peptostreptococcales; Peptostreptococcaceae
Description: bacterial SSU rRNA
Rfam family: Bacterial small subunit ribosomal RNA
Source: RNAcentral
AACGCGAAGAACCUUACCUAAGCUUGACAUCCUUUUGACCAAUGCCUAAUCGCAUCUUUCCCUUCGGGGACAGAAGUGACAGGUGGUGCAUGGUUGUCGUCAGCUCGUGUCGUGAGAUGUUGGGUUAAGUCCCGCAACGAGCGCAACCCUUGCCUUUAGCUGCCAGCAUUAAGUUGGGCACUCUAGAGGGACUGCCAGGGAUAACCUGGAGGAAGGUGGGGAUGACGUCAAAUCAUCAUGCCCCUUAUGCUUAGGGCUACACACGUGCUACAAUGGGUGGUACAGAGGGCAGCCAAGUCGUGAGGCCGAGCUAAUCCCUUAAAGCCAUUCUCAGUUCGGAUUGUAGGCUGAAACUCGCCUACAUGAAGCUGGAGUUACUAGUAAUCGCGGAUCAGCACGCCGCGGUGAAUACGUUCCCGGGUCUUGUACACACCG